This 355-nucleotide non-coding RNA is filed under the name Pongo abelii (Sumatran orangutan). Lineage: Eukaryota; Metazoa; Chordata; Mammalia; Primates; Hominidae. The record is from RNAcentral.
UUGUGCUCAAACAUUUUAAUCAUUUCUGCCCUGUUACUCCCACCCCAGAUCCAAGCGCCAGCCCAGUUCCGGUGGGGGCUCAGUCCUCCGGAGUCCAGGAGUCAGGGCUCGGGGGCUCUCAGCGGCCAGUGGGCAAGAUUGGGGCCUUUCCUGUUCUCGAAGCUGCACAAAGGUGGGAGCCAGGGCUCAUUUUCAUAGCCAAGGGUCCCAGGAGCUCCCCAGGAGCUUGGCCAAUGGGCUGGUCCAUGGUGGGUGAGGGGCCAGAGGCUCUGGCCAUUGCUACAGGCAGUAAAACUCCUGACUCGGUUAUGGUCCCAAAGAGCACACCCAGAAGAAUGGGCUCAAAGGUGAAGGU